Molecule: ribosomal RNA, 468 nt
Filed under: uncultured bacterium
Lineage: Bacteria
Description: partial 16S ribosomal RNA
Rfam family: Bacterial small subunit ribosomal RNA
Source: RNAcentral
GACGAACGCUGGCGGCGUGCUUAACACAUGCCAGUCGAACGGAAAGGCCCUGCGUUUGUGGGGUGCUCGAGUGGCGAACGGGUGAGUAACACGUGAGUAACCUGCCCUUGACUUUGGGAUAACUUCAGGAAACUGGGGCUAAUAUCGGAUAGGAGCUCCUGCAGCAUGGUGGGGGUUGGAAAGAUUCGGCGGUUGGGGAUGGACUCGCGGCUUAUCAGCUUGUUGGUGGGGUAGUGGCUUACCAAGGCUUUGACGGGUAGCCGGCCUGGGAGGGUGACCGGCCACCAUGGGACUGAGGUACGGCCCAGACUCCUACGGGAGGCAGCAGUGGAGAAUAUUGCACAGUGGGCGGAAGCCUGAUGCAGCAACGCCGCGUGCGGGAUGACGGCCUUCGGGUUGUAAACCGCUUUCGCCUGUGACGAAGCGUGAGUGACGGUAAUGGGUAAAGAAGCACCGGCUAACUACGUG